RNAcentral lists this ribosomal RNA (1200 nucleotides) under Depressigyra globulus. RNAcentral's name for it is "SSU rRNA". It matches the Rfam family "Eukaryotic small subunit ribosomal RNA", at positions 4 to 1159 of the family's 1831-position model. Lineage: Eukaryota; Metazoa; Mollusca; Gastropoda; Neomphalida; Peltospiridae. The record is from RNAcentral.
CUGGUUGAUUCUGCCAGUAGUCAUAUGCUUGUCUCAAAGAUUAAGCCAUGCAUGUCUAAGUACAGACUUCCACAUAGUGAAACUGCGAAUGGCUCAUUAGAUCAGUUAUGGUUCAUUAGAUCGUACAAUCCUUACUUGGAUAACUGUGGCAAUUCUAGAGCUAAUACAUGCAACGAAAGCUCCGACCUCGCGGGAAGAGCGCUUUUAUUAGUUCAAGACCAGCCGGGGGACCCGUCUUGCCGCAAGGUUUGGCGGCCCUCGUCCAAAACUUGGUGACUCUGGAUAACAUCUGUGCGGAUCGCACGGCCCGAGAGCCGGCGACGUAUCUUUCAAGUGUCUGCCCUAUCAACUUUCGUAGGUAGUCGACCUGACCACCUAGGUUCUCACGGGUAGCGGGGGAUCGUGGGUUCGAUUACGGAGAAGGAGCCUGAGAAACGGCUACCACAUCCAAGGAAGGCAGCAGGCACGCAACUUACCCACUCCCGACACGGGGAGGUAGUGACGAAAAAUAACAAUACGGGACUCUUUCGAGGCCCCGUAAUUGGAAUGAGUACACUUUAAAUCCUUUAACGAGGAUCCAUUGGAGGGCAAGUCUGGUGCCAGCAGCCGCGGUAAUUCCAGCUCCAAUAGCGUAUAUUAAAGUUGUUGCAGUUAAAAAGCUCGUAGUUGGAUCUCGAGUACGGGCGUGCGGUCCACUUCGCGGUGGUCUCACUGCACGUUGCCCGGCUCAUCCUUGCCGGUCGUUUUCCCUUGGUGCUCUUCGCUGAGCGUCUCGGGGGGCCGGGACGUUUACUUUGAAAAAAUUAGAGUGUUCAAAGCAGGCCCUUCUCGCCUGCAUAAUGUUGCAUGGAAUAAUGGAAUAGGACCUCGGUUCUAUUUUGUUGGUUUUCGGAAAAGUCGAGGUAAUGAUUAAAAGGGACAGCCGGGGGCAUUCGUAUUACGGCGUUAGAGGUGAAAUUCUUGGAUCGCCGUAAGACGACCGACAGCGAAAGCAUUUGUCAUGGAUGUUUUCAUUAGUCAAGAACGAAAGUCAGAGGUUCGAAGACGAUCAGAUACCGUCGUAGUUCUGACCAUAAACGAUGCCGACCAGCGAUCCGCCGGCGUUGCUUCAAUGACCCGACGGGCAGCUUCCGGGAAACCAAAGUCUUUGGGUUCUGGGGGAAGUAUGGUUGCAAAGCUGAAACUUAAAGGAAUUGACGG